ACACGCAUGACACACUGCAUAUCAAUAAGCGGAGGAAAAGAAACUAACAAGGAUUCCCUUAGUAACGGCGAGUGAAGCGGGAAGAGCUCAAAUUUGAAAUCUUCAAGGUUUUACCUUGACGAAUUGUAGUUUAAAGAAGUGUUUUCUGUUGAAGUUUCGGUAAAAGUUCUUUGGAAUAGGACAUCAUAGAGGGUGAGAAUCCCGUAUUUGACUAUUCUCUCUAGCUUUGUGAUACACUUUCAACGAGUCGGAUUGUUUGGGAAUGCAGUCCAAAAUGGGUGGUAAAUUUCAUCUAAAGCUAAAUAUUGGCGAGAGACCGAUAGCGAACAAGUACCGUGAGGGAAAGAUGAAAAGAACUUUGAAAAGAGAGUUAAACAGUACGUGAAAUUGUCAAAAGGGAAGCGUUUGACACCAGUGUUGUUUUUCCGAAAAUCAAUUACAAAUGUUUUAUUUUUGAGGAGUUAUGACUUCAUCGGCUUGCUCCUUUCUUUAUGAAACUUUCUUAAUGCACUUUUCGGUUAACAAGUCAACAUCAAUUUCUUUUGUUGUAAAAGGGUAUGAGGAAGGUGGCUUUCUUUUCGGAGAAAGUGUUUAUAGCCUUGUGCCUCUGCAAUCGGAGAGAUUGAGGUCUGCAGCGUAGAUCCUUCGGGGUUAGAUACGUUUGUGCUAAGUUAUAGCUUUUCAUAGACAACUUGUUGACUAUGUUUAGUCUUGUAGCUUACUCGCUUACGCUAUUUUACCUACGCUUAGGAUGUUGACUGAUAUGUAGUCGUA
This 774-nucleotide ribosomal RNA is filed under the name uncultured Neocallimastigales. Its description in RNAcentral is "partial large subunit ribosomal RNA". It matches the Rfam family "Eukaryotic large subunit ribosomal RNA", at positions 23 to 644 of the family's 3401-position model. Lineage: Eukaryota; Fungi; Neocallimastigomycota; Neocallimastigomycetes; Neocallimastigales. The record is from RNAcentral.